This 747-nucleotide long non-coding RNA is filed under the name Gallus gallus (chicken). Its description in RNAcentral is "lncRNA (ENSGALG00010019802.1)". The record is from RNAcentral. Lineage: Eukaryota; Metazoa; Chordata; Aves; Galliformes; Phasianidae.
UGAAACCAAAGCACCCUACUGGCUCUUACCUGACCUGCUAAGAUUUAUCACCAGGCUGUGGAAAAGAAGCAUUCCUGCAAGAUGUCCCUGGCAGUGAGAAGAGGGGAGAUGCCCCAUGGGCAUGCGAUCCCUUUCGUCCUUCACAUUUAGCUGAGCACGGCAGGGGCUAUGGGUGCUUGGGGUGUGAAAUGUCUUCAAAUGCUUCAAAAAACAGAGAGUCCCACACAUGGAACUGUUCAUUUAGAAGAGAGCUGAUAUUGUCACAAAGAGAGCUCAAAGGCAGGAUGAAGCUGAGGACAGCACGCUGUAAAUACUCUUCCUCACGUCCCAGCUGUGCAUUGCACGAGUGGAAAGGCGAGGGGCUGCUCACCAGAGGGCUUGCUUCCUUCAGAGCAAUGUUUGGUGAAGAGGAGGAGAGACAGCCAGCAAGACCUGCAUCCCCAUUGAGGCAAAGAGCGCUUAAAACACGCACAGCCCCAGGCAAUGCCCUGCAGGCAGCUCUGCCCACAACCAGACAAGGCAAUGAGCAGCCAUGCCUACUGGUUCUGCCUUUUUCCAUAGUUCUCUGUGCCCAAAUCCCAUCAAAGGACUGGGAACUGUAACUGUAGCCUUGAGUAAUGUUGGUAACUCCCCCCAUGAAAAUAACAAAAACAGAAGUUUGAAAAAGAAUGGAAAUUAUCCUUCUUAUCAGAAUUGCCUUCAAACCCUCCAAAGGGUAAUUGGUAAUGUUAAAAAUAAAGAAUUGAU